AUUGAACGCUGGCGGCAGGCCUAACACAUGCAAGUCGAGCGGAUGAAGGGAGCUUGCUCCUGGAUUCAGCGGCGGACGGGUGAGUAAUGCCUAGGAAUCUGCCUGGUAGUGGGGGAUAACGUCCGGAAACGGGCGCUAAUACCGCAUACGUCCUGAGGGAGAAAGUGGGGGAUCUUCGGACCUCACGCUAUCAGAUGAGCCUAGGUCGGAUUAGCUAGUUGGUGGGGUAAAGGCCUACCAAGGCGACGAUCCGUAACUGGUCUGAGAGGAUGAUCAGUCACACUGGAACUGAGACACGGUCCAGACUCCUACGGGAGGCAGCAGUGGGGAAUAUUGGACAAUGGGCGAAAGCCUGAGCCAGCCAGGCCGCGUGUGUGAAGAAGGUCUUCGGAUUGUAAAGCACUUUAAGUUGGGAGGAAGGGCAGUAAGUUAAUACCUUGCUGUUUUGACGUUACCAACAGAAUAAGCACCGGCGAACUUCGU
RNAcentral lists this ribosomal RNA (483 nucleotides) under uncultured bacterium. RNAcentral describes it as "partial 16S ribosomal RNA". It matches the Rfam family "Bacterial small subunit ribosomal RNA", at positions 30 to 506 of the family's 1533-position model. The record is from RNAcentral.